UGGGACUGUCCCGAACUCUCACAAAGCUUCGGAUAAUUGUGUGCUCUUCUACAGGGUAUUGGGACAUGGAGACUGCUGCUAAGCCACUGUAGCUACUGCUGCUGUAUACAGCCUGAGUCUGUGCAGCUGUGUGUGUCUGCAGCUGUUUCCUGUUUCCCACGAGCUACCUGUCUGUGGGUCUGUACACCAGUGUGUGACUGACGGUCUUUGUGUCUAUCCAUAGUGGACAAAAUGACCAGCGAUCUCAACGCCUCUCUGGCAACAGCAGACGAGCUGUCGAAGGAGUUUGACAGCCUGUUUCAGGAGGUUGCCAAGCCCAGUAAAGAGAGCUCUAAUUCCAGUCAGCAGUCCAGGUCGGAGACCCCCAAGAAGGAACAGAACACCAGUGCUCCCAGUUCCUCUGCGGGAAUGGGGCGUAACACCUGGGAUAACAAGGAGGCUUCCCAGUCUCUGCCAUACAGCUCCAGCGCCGUGGAAUCUGGGAGUAGUGCCUCCUACAGGUCGCUGGACUUGGCGUCAGGAAGCAACAAGUUUGACCCCCCCAGCAUGUCCUCCUCCCUCUACUCCCGGCAGUUCACACCCCCAAUGAGUAAAAAAACCUUCUCCUCCCUCCCCCCGAGUUUUGACUCCACAUACUCUGGUGGCCAGCUGACCCCCCC
RNAcentral lists this long non-coding RNA (659 nucleotides) under Lepisosteus oculatus (spotted gar). Its description in RNAcentral is "lncRNA (ENSLOCG00000022469.1)". The record is from RNAcentral. Lineage: Eukaryota; Metazoa; Chordata; Actinopteri; Semionotiformes; Lepisosteidae.